RNAcentral lists this ribosomal RNA (429 nucleotides) under Actinomycetes bacterium. RNAcentral describes it as "Actinobacteria bacterium partial 16S ribosomal RNA". It matches the Rfam family "Bacterial small subunit ribosomal RNA", at positions 355 to 776 of the family's 1533-position model. The record is from RNAcentral. Lineage: Bacteria; Bacillati; Actinomycetota; Actinomycetes.
UAGGGAAUCUUCCGCAAUGGGCGAAAGCCUGACGGAGCAACGCCGCGUGAGUGAUGAAGGUCUUCGGAUCGUAAAACUCUGUUAUUAGGGAAGAACAAAUGUGUAAGUAACUAUGCACGUCUUGACGGUACCUAAUCAGAAAGCCACGGCUAACUACGUGCCAGCAGCCGCGGUAAUACGUAGGUGGCAAGCGUUAUCCGGAAUUAUUGGGCGUAAAGCGCGCGUAGGCGGUUUUUUAAGUCUGAUGUGAAAGCCCACGGCUCAACCGUGGAGGGUCAUUGGAAACUGGAAAACUUGAGUGCAGAAGAGGAAAGGGGAAUGCCAUGUGUAGCGGUGAAAUGCGCAGAGAUAUGGAGGAACACCAGUGGCGAAGGCGACUUUCUGGUCUGUAACUGACGCUGAUGUGCGAAGGCGUGGGGAUCAAACAGG